RNAcentral lists this ribosomal RNA (934 nucleotides) under Proboscia inermis. RNAcentral describes it as "partial Bacterial large subunit ribosomal RNA". It matches the Rfam family "Bacterial large subunit ribosomal RNA", at positions 1955 to 2901 of the family's 2925-position model. The record is from RNAcentral. Lineage: Eukaryota; Bacillariophyta; Melosirophyceae; Probosciales; Probosciaceae.
GGUAGCGAAAUUCCUUGUCGGGUAAGUUCCGACCUGCACGAAUGGUGUAACCAUGGCCUCGCUGUCUCCACCCGAGACUCAGUGAAAUUGAAAUUGCAGUGAAGAUGCUGUGUACCCGCACCUAGACGGAAAGACCCCGUGAACCUUUACUACAGCUUGGCACUGAACAUUGACCCUACAUGUGUAGGAUAGGUGGGAGACUAUGAAGCAUUGUCGCUAGAUGAUGUGGAGUCUACCUUGAAAUACCACCCUUGUACGUUUGAUGUUCUAACAUUGCGCCCUAAUCGGGCGUGUGGACAGUGUCUGGUGGGUAGUUUGACUGGGGCGGUCUCCUCCCAAAGCGUAACGGAGGAGCACGAAGGUUGGCUAAUCCUGGUCGGACAUCAGGAGGUUAGUGCAAUGGCAUAAGCCAGCUUAACUGCGAGACAGACACGUCGAGCAGGUACGAAAGUAGGUCAUAGUGAUCCGGUGGUUCUGAAUGGAAGGGCCAUCGCUCAACGGAUAAAAGGUACUCCGGGGAUAACAGGCUGAUACCGCCCAAGAGUUCAUAUCGACGGCGGUGUUUGGCACCUCGAUGUCGGCUCAUCACAUCCUGGGGCUGAAGUCGGUCCCAAGGGUAUGGCUGUUCGCCAUUUAAAGUGGUACGCGAGCUGGGUUUAGAACGUCGUGAGACAGUUCGGUCCCUAUCUUCCGUGGGUGUAGGAUACUUGAGAGGAGUUGCCCCUAGUACGAGAGGACCGGGGUGAACGAUCCACUGGUGGACCAGUUGUUAUGCCAAUAGCAGUGCUGGGUAGCUAUGAUCGGACAGGAUAACCGCUGAAGGCAUCUAAGCGGGAAGCCCCCCUCAAAACAAGGUAUCCCUGAGAGCCGAGGUAGACCACCUCGUCGAUAGGCCAGAGAUGUAAGCGUGGUAACACGUUCAGUUGACUGGUAC